Molecule: microRNA, 23 nt
Filed under: Monodelphis domestica (gray short-tailed opossum)
Lineage: Eukaryota; Metazoa; Chordata; Mammalia; Didelphimorphia; Didelphidae
Description: mdo-miR-7274-5p
Source: miRBase by way of RNAcentral
CCCAAGAGACAGGCCGAGAGUGA